Molecule: ribosomal RNA, 440 nt
Filed under: uncultured bacterium
Lineage: Bacteria
Description: partial 16S ribosomal RNA
Rfam family: Bacterial small subunit ribosomal RNA
Source: RNAcentral
CCUACGGGAGGCAGCAGUGAGGAAUAUUGGACAAUGGACGAGACCCUGAUCCAGCGAAGCCGCGUGAAUGAAGAAGUCUCUAUGGACUGAAAACUUCAUUAACAUGGAAAUAAAUUACAGUAUCUGUCUAGUAAGCUCCGUCUAAUUACGUUCCGGCAGCCGCGGUAAUACGUCGGGGGCAAGCGUUAUCCGGAUUUUCUGGGUGUAAAGGGAGCUUAGACGGCCGCACAAGUCUGUAGUGAAAUUCCGGGGCUUAACCCUGGAACUGCAUUGGAAACUGGGCGUCUGGAGUGCAGGAGGGGUAGGCGGAAUUCGUAGUGUAGCGGUGAAAUGCGUAGAUAUUACGAGGAACACCGAUUGCGAAGGCAGCUUACUGGACUGUAACUGACGUUGAGGCUCGAAAGCGUGGGUAGCAAACAGGAUUAGAUACCCCAGUAGUU